UGGUGGAGUGAUUUGUCUGGUUAAUUCCGUUAACGAACGAGACCUUAACCUGCUAACUAGUUUCCCUGGGUACUCCGGGGGCAACUUCUUAGAGGGACUUCGUGGGCAACCACGCGGAAGUGUGAGGCAAUAACA
This 135-nucleotide ribosomal RNA is filed under the name uncultured eukaryote. RNAcentral describes it as "partial 18S ribosomal RNA". It matches the Rfam family "Eukaryotic small subunit ribosomal RNA", at positions 1299 to 1458 of the family's 1831-position model. The record is from RNAcentral.